RNAcentral lists this long non-coding RNA (1905 nucleotides) under Haliotis rubra (blacklip abalone). RNAcentral describes it as "uncharacterized LOC124277549". Lineage: Eukaryota; Metazoa; Mollusca; Gastropoda; Lepetellida; Haliotidae. The record is from RNAcentral.
GACACCUUUUUGAAUAGGUGAAUGUUCUUGUGGGUGCAAAAGUUAUUGUUAUUUCUUGUCAUUACGAAAUGCUCAAAUGAGCAGUAUUGAAAGAGAUAUCUUUUUCGCAUUGUAGAUUGACAUCCAUAUGGAUUAACUAGAUGUUUAUCUGCCAGCCAAUUUCAAUCUCAAAUCACAUGGUUUUAAGCAUCAAAUAGCAUUAUUGUUAAACCUCCUUUCAUAUCCAAAGACCAAGUACAGACGAAAUGGCAAACAUCAUUCAUAUGCAAUUUCCAAAGUCACCUCAUUAUCACAUUUAGGAACAUAGAUAUAAGAUGGUACACUAAAAUGACAAUGUUGAAUAUUUACAGAUGCACGCAGGUAGUCGCCUACUACAGCUAGGCCUAUACUGAAAAUGGACCGGGCAGCAUAGUCUCUCUUUAAUGCCACUAUUUCUCUGUGUGAUUUGAGGUGACCAUUUACUUUAAAAAAAUGACAAAAUGUUCUGUUAAAUAUGUACUAAAAUUCUGUACUUGAGACAUAUUGGCAAACAUUUCGUGCAAAAUUUUGCAUGGAUGUAAAUAGGGUUGCUUACUAACCAGUUUGUCACUAACAAUUCAGUUUGUGGAAUAGAUUAACAGGUUUUUUAUUUGUUGUAUUUUUGGUAAGUUUGUGUCAGAUACUUCUUGCUUCCAAUAUCAUAAAUGUUCGUGUUCCAUUUCAGUUCUACACUGCACAUACUUUUGAAUUGUAACUGUCAUCCAUAUGAAUGAUGUAUUAAUAAAUAACAGAUUCACAAUAUAAUUUCAUUCCAAAGUUGGUUAAUCGAGUACAAUGUUCUGUAAACUUUACGCAGUCAUUUUUAUAACAAAGUAUGGUAUGUUAUUUGUAACUAAUGGUUUUCUACUAUUUCAACGGUUCAAACCUCGCCCAUUCAUGAUGCCGAAUUGAUGAAUACGAAGGCAGUCUACCCAGAUGAUCCAAAAAAUGUGAUCCGGAGACCAACCAUGGAAACAACUAUGGAAUAUUCAUGAUGAUCCAGAUAUUCACGUCUCGCCAUGUACUGCUGACUGGACACCAACAGGAAUACUUUGAAUGUAUGCUGCUAUUUCCAUUAAUGGCAAUCUGAAACAGAAGACAGAUUCACUGGUGAAAGGCUGAAAACUGAUAUUGUAUAGAAAAAUGUAUAAUUGUAGAGCUUUGUUGAUGUUUUUUGGAGUCUGCUACUCACUGAAACUUCAGCUCCUAAGAACUAUGGAAGUGAUAAUUGAUGCUGAUAUUAAGUUGUAUAUUUUGCUUCUGUAAAACCCCAUUGAUGUACAGAGAUAAAUGUGAUGAAAAAUGUAUAGUUUGUAGUUUUGUUUAGUGCUUCACAGACUCCUGUCUGAGAGUAGCUGAGAAACUGAAAACACUAAGAGAGGAUACGUUUCUAUUCUAGGCUUAUUAGUGCUACUAAUAAACAUGUUUUACCCCUUUAUUAUUGUUAUGAUGACUAUGGAUAAAAGUCACAUAGUCUUCUUUGCCGUGUAAGGGUUUUCUUGUCUUGAUGUAUGACAUUAAAUUAUAUUUAUUUACGAGUUUUGUGUGUUGUUGUGUUUCUUGGGAGCUACCCUUACUGUGAAGAGUUGCUUGAAGUCAUAGUAAUUAUUGAUGUAAUGAUUUCAAAAUUUCAGGAAUUUAUAAAUGAUACUUAUAGAUAAAACCUAUAAAGUCAUUGCCUACAUACUUUGAUUAAUUUUUGUUCCACAUGAGUGGACGUAAAUGACUUGGCAAAUCUCAGUUUAGCUCGAUUUUUGGGACAUAUAUGAAGGGCUCCUACAACAUUAUUAUGAUAUUCUUUGACAUAUAGUCUUCACUUCUGCCGUCAGAACAGUAAUUGGGACUAGAAUGCAUAAAAAAAAUAAUUUUAAAAGCAUUAAGAAAAAU